UGGGGAAUAUUGCACAAUGGGCGAAAGCCUGAUGCAGCGACGCCGUGUGAGGGAUGACGGCCUUCGGGUUGUAAACCUCUUUCAGCAGGGACGAAGCGCAAGUGACGGUACCUGCAGAAGAAGCACCGGCUAACUACGUGCCAGCAGCCGCGGUAAUACGUAGGGUGCAAGAGUUGUCCGGCAUUACUGGGCGUAAAGAGUUCGUAGGCGGUUUGUCGCGUCGUUUGUGAAAACCAGCAGCUCAACUGCUGGCUUGCAGGCGAUACGGGCAGACUUGAGUACUGCAGGGGAGACUGGAAUUCCUGGUGUAGCGGUGAAAUGCGCAGAUAUCAGGAGGAACACCGGUGGCGAAGGCGGGUCUCUGGGCAGUAACUGACGCUGAGGAACGAAAGCGUGGGUAGCGAACAGG
This 409-nucleotide ribosomal RNA is filed under the name bacterium. RNAcentral describes it as "partial 16S ribosomal RNA". It matches the Rfam family "Bacterial small subunit ribosomal RNA", at positions 355 to 776 of the family's 1533-position model. The record is from RNAcentral.